GUGUGUGUGUUUGUGAGUGUGUAACUGUGUGUUUUCAUUUCUGUGUUUGUGCGUGUGUGUGAGUGAGUGUUUUCAUUUCUGUGUUGGAAAUAGGUCAGAUAGCAAUAUCAAUCAGGAUACGUUGAAGUGACCCCUGACCUGUUGGAGUUUGGUAAUUUGGUGCACUACAUUCAUUGACAAGUGUUGAUAUGUGCGUGUGGAAAACUGGAAAUGAUCUUACGAUCUCUUGUAUUUUAUUUUUGAUCUGUUUUACAGAUCCAGGUACUGUGUGCGCAUACGUUUGUGUGUGAGUGAAUGUAUUUAUUUCUAUGUGUUCGAGUGUGUGCGUUUGUGUUCCUCCUACUACUACUACAGUCUACCUAUCUCUCUCUCUCUCUCUCUACCACCACCACUAUCAUUCGUACACUGUAACCGCUCACCACCACUCCCACCAUCAUUAUACAGUCGCUACCACCACCAUCACCACCCCAUCAGUAGAGUAACUUCUCCCCACCACUAUCACCAUCAUCGGUACACCGGUAUCUCCCGCCACCCCCACAUCAGUUCUGAGUAACUUUCACCACCACCACAACAGUCACCAUCACCACCCUCAUCGGUACAGAGUGUUCUAUCACGACAUUAUCUCUCACCACACCACAACACCGUCACCACCAUCAGUACAGAGUGACUUCCUCUCACCACGACGCACUUUUUACCUUUUACUACCACCACCAUCAGCAGCAGCUCUUAGUGCAAUGUUUAAAAGCCAUUAUCAAACUCACUACAAGGAUUAUUAUGUUGCUAUCUCUUCCGCUCGUGUGUCCAAAUGGUCACCCUGUCGUGGACUUAGGCCAGUUCCUUACCUCCACCUUGGACAAUGAAAAGAUUUUACCAAGCAAGUAGCCCAUGCGAAGCUUCAACUAUAUGAAGUAUCCCAUCCAUCAUGCCUCAGAUGUGUUCAGUAGGGUUCAUAUCUGGUGAUUGGCUUAGCUAUGGAAGCUUUUUAAUGCCAUUCUCUUCCAACCAAUCCUGGGUCUUUUAGUUGUGCAAGAAAGCCCUAUCUUCCAUAAAUAGUGUUAUUUAAUCAUUUUACUCCUGGAGGUUAUAGGAAGAAGAUUUUUCUAUAAUAUGGACACAUAUUUAUCUGAGUUUAUGUAUCCCUCACAUUCCACCAUUUCUGAUUGACUAUUGCUCCAAACUGCUCUCUAGACCAUCACAUGUUUCAUUGUUGGCUGCAAUAUAUUCACGUGAAAAUAUUGGUGACUGAUUCUCCAGACCCACAUUCGACCAGUGUCAGAAAAUACAGCAAAUCUGGAUUCAUCAGAGAAUUUGACUGUGUCCCAAAGUGCUAGUGACCUCUCUACCAUCUCACUUGUCCAAUCUUUUCUCCAUUUGAUAUUGGCUGGUCGAAGCAGUGUCUUCUUUCUUGCUGCUCUGCCAUAAUAGCCAAUUUUGCGGAGAUAACUGACAGCUAUUCUGGGACUGACAUCAACUUAUUCUGCUAUAUUGGAGGCCUUGCAAUGAGGAUUAUCUUACACACUUCUCUUAAGAAAGCAAAGUGUUCUGUCAGAGGGCCUUAGUCUACCUGGGUAAGGUGAUAUGGACUACUUUCCCGUUUAGUGAAUUGAAAAAUUACUCUAUUUACUGUAGAAAGUAGAAUCACAAUGUUUUCUGUGGUUUUAGGCUAAGUCAGCCUUGAAAUAGGCGCAGCAUAUGGCCUCUUUGUAAAUUGGACAUUUUUAAGGCUUCUUUUGUACAUGGCAUGAUUAAACAGUUACAUAUAGAACCUGAAACAUAUAAAUGUCAAUUAAUAAA
This 1794-nucleotide long non-coding RNA is filed under the name Octopus sinensis (East Asian common octopus). RNAcentral's name for it is "uncharacterized LOC118768403". The record is from RNAcentral. Lineage: Eukaryota; Metazoa; Mollusca; Cephalopoda; Octopoda; Octopodidae.